ACCAGGUUUUUUGGCACAGGGCUGUAAUCCCUGCUACUGAAGUGGCUGAAGCUAGUAGACAACUUGUGCUCAGGAGUUCUGAACUGAAAUAGGUUUAAAGCCAAUAUGAACUAAGUCCAAUCCUAAUAUGGUGAGCUCCUGGGAGUGGGGGGCCACCAGGCUGCCUAAGGAGGUGUGAACUGGCUUAGGUUAGAAAUGAAGCAAGUCAAAGCUACUGUGCUGAUCAACGUGUUGUUGUUCAGCCAUGUCAGUUGUGUCCAACUCUU
Molecule: small RNA, 266 nt
Filed under: Phascolarctos cinereus (koala)
Lineage: Eukaryota; Metazoa; Chordata; Mammalia; Diprotodontia; Phascolarctidae
Description: Metazoan signal recognition particle RNA (ENSPCIG00000014810.2)
Rfam family: Metazoan signal recognition particle RNA
About the family: The signal recognition particle (SRP) is a universally conserved ribonucleoprotein. It is involved in the co-translational targeting of proteins to membranes. The eukaryotic SRP consists of a 300-nucleotide 7S RNA and six proteins: SRPs 72, 68, 54, 19, 14, and 9.
Source: RNAcentral